GACGUAGGGGGCAAGCGUUGUUCGGAAUUAUUGGGCGUAAAGCGCUCGUAAGCGGGACUGUAAGUCCGUGUUGAAAGACCUCGGCUCAACUGAGGGACCGGCUCGGAUACUAUAGUUCUUGAGGCAAUCAGAGGGUGAUGGAAUUCCCGGUGUGGCGGUGAAAUGCGUAGAUAUCGGGAGGAACACCAGUGGCGAAGGCGAUCACCUGGGGUUGUUCUGACGCUGAGGAGCGAAAGCUAGGGGAGCAAACGGG
This 253-nucleotide ribosomal RNA is filed under the name uncultured bacterium. RNAcentral describes it as "partial 16S ribosomal RNA". It matches the Rfam family "Bacterial small subunit ribosomal RNA", at positions 524 to 776 of the family's 1533-position model. The record is from RNAcentral.